UUAAGCAUAUCAAUAAGCGGAGGAAAAGAAACUAACAAGGAUUCCCCUAGUAACUGCGAGUGAAGCGGGAAGAGCUCAAAUUUGAAAUCUGGCAGUUCUUUGACUGUCCGAGUUGUAAUCUAGAGAAGUGCUGCCUGUGCUGGACCAUGUACAAGUCUCCUGGAAUGGAGCAUCACAGAGGGUGAGAAUCCCGUCUUUGACAUGGACUACCUGUACAUUAUGGUGUGCUCUCAAAGAGUCGAGUUGUUUGGGAAUGCAGCUCAAAAUGGGUGGUAAAUGCCAUCUAAAGCUAAAUAUUGGCGAGAGACCGAUAGCGAACAAGUACCGUGAGGGAAAGAUGAAAAGAACUUUGGAAAGAGAGUUAAACAGUACGUGAAAUUGCUGAAAGGGAAACGCUUGAAGUCAGUCGCGUUGGCUAGAAAUCAGCCUUGCUUUUGCUUGGUGUACUUUCUGGUUGAUGGGUCAGCAUCAAUUUUGACCAUUGGAUAAAGUCUUUGGGAAUGUGGCAUCUUUGGAUGUGUUAUAGCCCAUUGUCACAUACGAUGGUUGGGAUUGAGGAACUCAGCACGCCGCAAGGCCGGGUUUCGACCACGUUCGUGCUUAGGAUGCUGGCAUAAUGGCUUUAAUCGACCCGUCUUGAAACACGGACCAAGGAGUCUAACAUGCCUGCGAGUGUU
This 677-nucleotide ribosomal RNA is filed under the name Inocybe leptospermi. RNAcentral's name for it is "eukaryotic LSU rRNA". It matches the Rfam family "Eukaryotic large subunit ribosomal RNA", at positions 34 to 694 of the family's 3401-position model. Lineage: Eukaryota; Fungi; Basidiomycota; Agaricomycetes; Agaricales; Inocybaceae. The record is from RNAcentral.